UCCGUAGGUGAACCUGCGGAAGGAUCAUUACUGAAUUGUCAACACGAGUUGUUGCUGGUCCUCAAACGGGGACAUGUGCACGCUCUGUUCACACAUCCACUCACACCUGUGCACCCUCUGUAGUUCUAUGGCUUGGGGGACUCUGUCCGCCUGCCGUGGUUCUAUGUCUUUACACACACUCUGUAAUAAAGCCUCAUGGGAUGUAUGCCGCGUUUAACGCAAUACAAUACAACUUUCAGCAACGGAUCUCUUGGCUCUCGCAUCGAUGAAGAACGCAGCGAAAUGCGAUAAGUAAUGUGAAUUGCAGAAUUCAGUGAAUCAUCGAAUCUUUGAACGCACCUUGCGCCCUUUGGCUAUUCCGAAGGCAUNCCUGUUUGAGUAUCAUGAACACCUCAACUCUCAUGGUUUGCCAUGUUGAGCUUGGACCGUUGGGGGUUUUGCUGGCUUGCCGUCGGCUCCUCUCAAAUGAAUCAGCUUGCCAGUGUUUGGUGGCGUCACGGGUGUGAUAACUAUCUACGCUUGUGGUUUUCUGCCAUGUAGCCUUCAGUGAUGGAGGCUCGCUGGAGCUCAUAGAUGUCUCUCCUCAGCGAAGACAGUUUUUGUGAACGUUUGAUCUCAAAUCAGGUAGGACUACCCGCUGAACUUAAGCAUAUCAAUAAGCGGAGGA
RNAcentral lists this ribosomal RNA (667 nucleotides) under ectomycorrhiza of Salix reinii. Its description in RNAcentral is "eukaryotic LSU rRNA". The stretch from base 231 to 384 matches the Rfam family "5.8S ribosomal RNA". The record is from RNAcentral. Lineage: Eukaryota; Fungi.